GCCAGUAUGGCUCAGUGGUUGAGCAUUGGCCUAUAAACCAAAAGGUCAUGGUUCAAUUCCUGGUCAGGGCA
Non-coding RNA from Myotis brandtii (Brandt's bat), 71 nucleotides. Lineage: Eukaryota; Metazoa; Chordata; Mammalia; Chiroptera; Vespertilionidae. The record is from Rfam.